Long non-coding RNA from Orcinus orca (killer whale), 203 nucleotides. RefSeq lists it as uncharacterized. The record is from RefSeq and is a predicted model, not a curated record. Lineage: Eukaryota; Metazoa; Chordata; Mammalia; Artiodactyla; Delphinidae. The transcript is spliced from 4 exons.
UUCAGAGAAAGACGUUUUUGUCUUGUUAAGAGACUUCCCGGCUUCUCAGUGAAGUUAUUGCAGAAUAUUAAGCAGAGUUCCCUGUGUCAUACAAUUCUUUUCCCAUAUGGAUCAUUACAGAGUACUGAGAAGAGUUCCCUGUGCUAUACAAUAAAAUAGAGCCCUGCAGAGAUGAAGGGAACUGCCUGAGGACCCAUACCUGG